GACGAACGCUGGCGGCGUGCUUAACACAUGCAAGUCGAACGGUGAAGCGCCGUCCUUGUUGGGGGGUGGGGAGGAGAGGCGGAGGGGAGAGUAAGAGGAGAGUAACCUGCACCCUGCGACAGGAUAACCGCAUGAAAGUGAGGCUAAGACGGGAGAUUCUGGGUCUGUCGCAGGGUGGGUCUGGGAAGGAUGUUGGGGCGGGGGGGGAUGGGCUCGCGGCCGAUCAGCUUGUUGGUGGGGUGAAGGCCUACCAAGGCGGUGACGGGUAGCCGGGCUGGGAGGGUGGACGGUCACACUGGGACUGAGGCACGGCCCGGACUCCUACGGGAGGCAGCCGUGGGGAAUAUUGCACACUGGGCGCGAGCCUGAUGCAGCGCCGCCGCGUGCGGGAUGGAGGCCUUCGGGUUGUGAACCUCUUUCGCCAGUGAAGCAGGCCUGCCUCGUUUGUGGGUGGGUUGACGGUAGCUGGAUAAGAAGCGCCGGCUAACUACGUG
RNAcentral lists this ribosomal RNA (494 nucleotides) under uncultured bacterium. RNAcentral's name for it is "partial 16S ribosomal RNA". It matches the Rfam family "Bacterial small subunit ribosomal RNA", at positions 28 to 507 of the family's 1533-position model. The record is from RNAcentral.